Molecule: long non-coding RNA, 1584 nt
Organism: Lactuca sativa (garden lettuce)
Lineage: Eukaryota; Viridiplantae; Streptophyta; Magnoliopsida; Asterales; Asteraceae
Source: RefSeq, a predicted model, not a curated record
UGACUUUCUUUUUCUAACGACACUCUCCUUCCUUUGUGUAACCCUAAAGAUGCCGACACUCUCCUUUCUUUGUCUAACCCUAAAGAAGACGACACUCAUCUACCACUCUUUCUCUUACAAACGCAUAUACUCUUUCUCAUAAUUGAUAACCUCCUACAAACUGAAGAAGAGAUAUGUCGUCCUUAGAUGAUCCGUUUAACAUCCAAACGCAGCAUCCACGCGUACAACCUUCAACAAUAGAAACCAUUAGCGACCACCACGACCACCGAAUCCUUCUGAUCUACAACCCCUAUCCCUCAUCUAGAUCUACACGACGAUUGGAGAAACUCAACAGGGUUAUCUUGAGGAUGUGUCGGUUCUUAUUGGUUGUUGCUUCUCUUGUUGCUGAAACGCGUCUGCUUCUUAAUUUACAGAAAUUUGAAGGAGAGAUCAGCAGGAAGUUCUUGUUUAUUCAUAAUUGCAUCUGUAUUCGAAAGUGGUUAGGGUUCAGUUGGUUUAAUUUCAUAGAUCGACGAACCCUAGAAAUACUAACAUUCACGCCUCCGAUGCAAUAAAUUCUUAAUAAAACAUUGUACAGUUUAAGGAUUUAAUGUACGAAGCAUUAACAAUUGAAGAAAGUUGGGACAGAGAUGAAGAUAUGAAAUAAUUUAUCCACUGAUUACUCAAUCCUCAGUGCCUUCACUCUCGUUGUUUCUCCAUCUUCAGUUCUAUUACCGGUGAUUAACAUAAAAAGGAAAAUCUUAAGAGAAACCAUCAGAAAAUGUUUUUUUUUUUUAACUCAAAAUCGGUUCUUCCUCACACAUAGGUCUUAUUUACUGUUGAUGGCUCCUUAAACGGUUCUGAGAUAAGUUAUAUAUGUGUAAUUAUUUUUAUUGAACAUGAUUUUGGUAUAUAUGUUGACAUAUUGACAUUUUUUUUUAACAAUUUUUGGUGUUUGUAUGAUGUAUCAAGACUGCAUGGGUUGCCGACAGAUCUUGAUUGUCCGAUAUUUCAUUUCUUAGAUGAAAAAAGCUACAUGGAGAGGCUCAUUCUUCAUCCGGCCAAGCCACAACAGCUCCUGUUGGAAUAUGUACAUCAUUUCCAACCGGAUUUUGCUGGAUCACACCUACAUCAUCUUCAGCCUGACGUGGCGCAUCAGAUUCUUGUAUUGGUUGGUUCAUAUCUACAGGUGACUCCAACCAAUUUCUGCAAAAGGAAUAUAAGCUGGAUUGCUAGUUUCUUCAGGAUCUGUAAACACAAAACACACACACACACAAACAACAUUAUAUUAGAUACAGUUAAAGUUUUGUAUAAUAUUAUGUUAUAUUUGAUUUACCUGAUUGGACCUGAAAUUUAUUAUUUUAUGCAAGAAUAUAAGCUGGAUUGCUAGUUUCUUCAGGAUCUGUAACACACAAAACACACACACACACACAAGAUUAUAUUAGGAAUAUAAAGCUGGAUUGCUAUUUUCUUCAAGAUCUAUAAACACAAAACACACACACACAACAUUAUAUUAGAUAUAGUUUCUUUAUUUACAUUAUAUUAGAUAAAGUUUUUUAAAAUAUAAGUUGGAUUGCUAGCUGAUAAAGUAUUUUGUGUUUUUUU